This is an RNA transcript of Oxyura jamaicensis (ruddy duck), 8188 nucleotides long. It is a transcript of the gene named 3-hydroxymethyl-3-methylglutaryl-CoA lyase like 1, with no coding region annotated. The transcript is spliced from 11 exons. NCBI's taxonomy places the organism in Eukaryota, Metazoa, Chordata, Aves, Anseriformes, Anatidae. The record is from RefSeq and is a predicted model, not a curated record.
CUGGCGGCCGGCAGAGGCGGCGGUUGCCGCAGCGGCCGCGGCUGGGGGCGCGGCGGGGGUGCGGGCUCCCGCCCUCCGCCAUUCGCAGGCGCCGCUGCUCGGGGCCGCGCCGCAGCCGGCUGCGGUUGACCUUGCGGCCGGCCGCUCCGCCAUGGGCACGGUGCCGUCGGCGCUGAAGCACUGCCUCAGCUACCAGCACCUCCUCAAGGAGCAGCCGUGGAUCGGGGAGCCGAUCCCCCCGCCGCAGCCCGGGCAGGAAUCCCAAACAUCUGGACUGCCUGAGUACAUAAAGAUUGUAGAAGUUGGGCCAAGGGAUGGAUUACAAAAUGAAAAGGUGAUAGUCCCAACUGAUAUCAAAAUUGAGUUAAUCAACCGGCUUUCCAAAACAGGGCUUUCUGCAAUAGAAGUGACCAGUUUCGUUUCAUCCAAAUGGGUGCCUCAGAUGGCAGAUCAUAAAGAAGUAAUGAGAGGCAUUGAGCAGCAUCCUGGAGUUCGAUAUCCUGUUCUCACACCUAACCUUCAAGGUUUUCAUUCUGCUAUUGCAGCAGGAGCUACAGAAGUCUCAGUAUUUGGUGCAGCAUCUGAAUCUUUUAGCAAAAUGAAUAUUAAUUGUUCUAUUGAAGAAAGCAUAGAAAAAUUUGAAGAAGUUGUCAAAUCAGCAAGGAAUAUGAAUAUUCCAGUGCGUGGGUAUGUGUCUUGUGCAUUGGGAUGCCCAUAUGAAGGAAACAUCAUACCAGCUAAAGUGGCAGAAGUAUCGAAACAGCUGUACAGUAUGGGCUGUUACGAAAUCUCUCUGGGGGACACAAUUGGUGUGGGGACUCCUGGAAGUAUGAAAAGAAUGUUGGAAGCUGUUAUGAAAGAAAUUCCUAUGAGUGCUCUUGCUGUUCAUUGUCAUGACACGUAUGGCCAGGCAUUAGCCAAUAUCCUCACAGCCAUACAGGUUCUGCUACACUGCAUGUCUGAAGGUGCUGUGUUUUUGGCUGACCUGAACUUGUCAUAGAUCUUGCCAAAAUUCCUUGAUGAAGCAGGCAUUACACAGUCUCUCUGACUGGCUUUAUGCAAGCAGCUCCUUGGCUUGGUCUGAAGAAUUAAUGAAUGACAGCUGGAAAGCCACAAAUCACUCUACACUAAUUCAGGCAUUGCUUCGAUGGGAGAUCUCCUAGGAGUUGAGAGAGGUGCUGGUGAUUCAGAAAUUGUUACAGACCUCCAAGGAAGAGUAAAAAGAUGGGUCAGAAAAAUUCUGUGCUGGAGAGGCCUCAAUAAGGAUACUAAUCAGAAAAAGAAAUCCUUCAUCAGUUAUAGAUUAUCCUUGUGUCGAAAUUCUCUCACUAGUGGUAACUUGGAGCAGUAGACACAACUUCCCUUUGGCUUAAAAUCAAGCCUCAGCUGUCUUUUAAAACAUUCUUAAACCUUGAAUUUCUCAUGCAAAUCCAUGUAUGUCUUUGUAUGUCUCUGCAAGCUCAUAUGGAUUUGUCACUCUAGAUCUAAAUGGAAUAUGAAUGGAGCAACUAGAGAAAUAAAUUCUAAAGUGGUUUUAGCAAUUUUCUUUCUUAAAGCCAAAGAUAAUUUCUAUACUAAUAGCACUGAAGCUAAGGAUUUAUAGAAGGAAUGUGUUUGGCCCAAAUGCUUUAUGCUCUUUCUUCUUUUUCUGCACUGGCCUACUUAUUUUAUUUUUUUUAUUUUUUUAUUUUUUUUCUUGGAAUGCUGUUUUAUUGUAGCUUUCUUAAUCACCUCCUGAAUGAUUUCACUUCUGAGUUUCCCAUGCUGUAAGUGAUGUUCAAUUGCACAUUUCAUUCUUCAGUGUUGGUGGUAUGUUCCAGUUUUCAGCUUUAUUGGUAAUUUUCUGUUUCAUUAAAUCUAGAACCAUUAAGGCCAUUCUGUAGGCGCUCUAGUAUUUAUUCCAUUACUGGGCAUCCUUCUCCUGUUGUGAGUGCAUUUCUGUGCAUAUUAAAAUAAACAGAUUCAGAUGAUUUAUUAUAAAUGAUUCUUAGCUCUUCAUCAGAUGCUGUUCUGCAUCAUUCAUUAGUUAUCAUAUCUGGGUAUCAUAUCAUAGUUUGUAAAAUGGAAAGAAGUUAGAAUUCAUAGAAUAUGAAUAGAGAGUUCUGUCUUAUUUCACCUUUUGCCGGUUGAUUACAGGUUUGGAAAACUGUGCUUGCAAACAAGGAUUAUAUAAGGUAGCACAGGAUGUAAUUCAGGUACUUAACGAGCAGAUUAUAGGCUCAUCUGAGGACAGUACUUUGUACAGGCUGUUGUCUACUUCUCGCACCUUUGCUCUCCUCUGUAAUUACUUUUUUUUUUUUUUUUUUUUUUUUUCUCCCAUUCUUUGUCUCCCUCAGUGCCUAAGUGGAGUAAAUACACUGCUGGCAGCUCACUGGCAAGAAAGGAGAAUGAUAUGAACAGAUACCAUGUUCUUACAUCACCUGAUCAUAAUAUUUUCCCUGGCACUUAUGUUAAUUUUCUCCUCUCUUUUACUAUUUCCCUAGCCAUUGUUUUUUAGAUGUAAGUCCACAUAGCCAGAGCAAUAGUCUUUUUAGAGACCUACUUCCAUCAUCCCAACUGUGUCUUGUUUAACUUGACUAUUUAAAUGACUAAGAGUCAGCAUCAUCCAGUUCUGAAGUGGACUGGGCAGUAAUCCAGCUCUUUCUGUUAGAGACAGACAUUCAUUUUUUUGGAAUAGAAACAAAUUACUUCCAAAUGCUGGAAAUGUAAGAAGGCUUUUCAAAAAAAGGUUUUCAGGUGUUUAUAGAACAAAUUAGUAUAAAAUAGUUUUCAAAAUGCUAAGCCCAAUUUAAAAUAAAUAUUUGGUACUUUUAGGAGUUGUGAAAAUAUAGCACUAGAAAACUGAAAUCAUUGAGCUGUAGCAUGCAUAAAAAUAUAGUGAGGGCACACACUGGUGUCAAAUUCCCCAUGCAUUUUUCUGUUGUGCCUCAGCUGGAUUGCAUGCAUAAAAAGGUAGUACUUUGUUUAUUUUUUUAUUUUUUUCACAAGACUACAAGUAGGCUGUAGGUUUGACAAGAUGACUGUCUGUAAAGAUCAGAAGUUGUUAUGUUACAACAGUUUUUGAUUCACUGUCUGAAAAUCUAGAUUAUCAAGAUGACUGGAAAAUGAAAAAUUUUCAUUGGCUUGAAGUUUGUUUUUGUGCCUCAUUCAGCAUCACAUAGGCAUUCUCUCAUCCAAUCUAGUUCUCCACAGCUAUUACCUGUCCCCUUUGGUUUUAUGGUAUCUUGCUUGCCUCUUACACACCUACAACAGAUGAAAUGGUAUUUCCUCACACAAAUAUCCUACCCACUGGCUCAUCCCAGAUCUGCUUCAUCUAGCAAGCUAGUCCCAUUCUUCCCUUUUAGCAUUCUUCCCACAUUCUUCACCAAUUUUUGUCUCAUCAGGCUAUGUGUCUGAAUAGACUUAGAACUACCUCCUCAUUCUCAAAUAUUCUCAAAUUCUAGUUAUAUCUUUCCUUUAUUCCCCCCGGCCGGGGGGGGGGCCGAAUUUCAUGAUGUUUCCUAGGCUGUAUUUAUUUCUGUCAUAUCUCCAUUUGAAUCAGUCAGCUUUCUUUCCACUGCCUAGGUCCAGUGAAGUGUCAACUGGCUACAUCUACGCAUGUAAACUACAUGUGCCUGGGCUUCUCUGGCACUGAGGCCAAUUGAUAUGAAAAAAAACUUGCAUCCAUAAAAUCAAAUUCUUACCCUACAAAACAAGGUCAUAGAGGUCAUUCUUACCCCAGAAAACAAGGUCACUGCUGUCUAUGAAUGAUUUCUAAGUGGUGCUAGUUUCCCAAAUGUGCCAGAGAUUGUUUGUUGGAACCCUAUCUGUCCCAGGCCAAAGCUGUUCCAGAGACUGUGGCAAGAGUUACACACAGUGGACAAUUGACUUCCAGUACUUGUAAGUCUUCCCCAACAUAGUUUAGUCUACUGGUGAUAUAGACAGCAACAAGAGAAUGCAAAUUUCUGUAUAUUAACAACACAAAAAAUAAUUUUUGCUGUCAUUCCUAGAGGCUUUUGGAGGCUGUCCCCAUGGACAUGUCCCCAUGGCUGAGGUUUCAGAGGUUCUGGUCAGUCUUGGCUGUGUUUUGUGCUUCUGGAGACCCGGAAGAUUUUCACUGCCCUCCUGCAAGUCUUCAUGAUGCAGCUGUACACUGUGUCUGUCUGUACGGCUGAGGUGGGACUCCCCAGAUUACACGUCCUUGGUUCAACGGAUGGGGUCAUGAGCACUUCAGGAGGCUAUCAUUAAUUACCAUGAGAAAAGCAGCGCAUUUAAGUUGUUUUGAAAAACUUAACUGUUAUGGCCAAUUUUUUCCAAAGCAAUCAGUUCAGGGCAGAUAUCUGUCCCAUAGGAUUUCAGCUUGAUUAAUGAAAAAUUGGCAAAGCUAUAACAUAGAGUACCAUAGGAUCUAAAUAUGGAAGAUGCUGGCCAAUCUUUGCAGCUGAUAUUGCUAACAUGCCAAUUUAAAUUAAAUUUCAAAUUUAAAUAUGCCACAAAAGUAAUGUCCGUUUUUAAAAAAUAGUGAUCUAAAACAUAUUCUAGAUUAAUACUUAGUUCAUGUUAAUAGCCUACCUAUUUUUUCCUGUGAUUAAGAUAUCCUUAUGAUGGUAAUUCUAGGGUAUCUAUUUUUAGAUCCUUGCUAAUUUAGAAUAUCUGAGUAUGCCAAUAGUUGUGUACCUAGCUUUAUGUUUUCAGCUAGUCUGUGCUAGACUGUGGUAUAGCCUUAUUCCUUUCACUUUCUAUUUGUUUUGAGCUUACAUGCUGUACACUGAAAAGCUAUGUGGUGCAGUGAUAGCAAUACCAUAUAGUAAGUACUUCAACAUAAUUUUAAAACAAUUCUAGAAAAUUAAAAGUUUGGUGAGGUCACAAUUAUAUUAAGCACAUGUAAGGACAUAGUUUCAUGGCAUUCUAAAAAGAAGUUAUUUCUAUAAGAUUUGCUUUACUUGCUUUCAGAAAUUCUCCCUAAAAUCAUAUUGCACUUUCAUCAGGCUAUGACUCUGCAUCCAUCAGUUAGAAGAAGAUAAAUGUCUUUUAAACGUGUAUUUUUCCACACUGUCAAAACGACUCUCUCUCCCUUUUUUCCCUAAAGUAAUUAUUUUUGAGUUUAACAGUAAGUGUGAAGUAAGGACGGAAUUGCAACAGUGCUUCCCACUUGGGACUGAUGUUUCUUUUCAUGACCUUAUGUUAUUUGUAAGCAUGGUUAUUCUAGCUUAUGCCUGGAAAAAAGGUAUUGCAUGGAAGCUGACUUUUAGACCCAGGCUAGGGUCAGACUAGUUUGUCAUGGCAGGAGCAGUCCUGGAGCUGCAACUGGGUCCCAAAUCCCAGUGUCUCCAGUAGGGAAGUGCAGUGUUUACAGGAUGAUGCUUACUUCCUUUUUGGGCAGCUCUACAGACAGCUGUGCUGAGGGGGUGGAACUAAAUCUCUGGCCAUUCUUGCAUAUUUAUGGCUCCUCAGAACCAAUUUAGUUACAAUCCAGCAAACAAUGAAGGAGGGAGAUUUACUUCCUAUUGUUGAGACAUAUCAGGUGGCUUUAAACAAGCUGUUGGGAUGUUUCCUAGGGUAAAUUAAAAUGCAGAAAGUGCAGAGGUACUAUCAUCAGACAUAGUGAAGUUCCUGAGUUCACUCUAACAGAGUAUGUUGGGUAGAUCUUUGUAGUUGUAUGAGAGCAAGUGAACAUCUUGCAUAACUGGAAUAAGUCGAAGAUGACUUUUCAGUCAAGACAGAAACCAAAGCUGAUGCAGUACUUGAAGUAUGACAAUCAUCUUUUCUUUCUGUGCUGUCCAAAAGCAACAUUGAACCAGUCUUCCGAAGUGAAUCAUUUGUCAUUUAUCCAUUUUUUUUUUCUUUUGAAAUAUUACAGUACAAAUCAAAACAGCUAGGGUUUCAAAAAUAAAAACUUUUUGAUCAUUGUAAAGAUAAAUGAGUGAUACACUCCUUAAUUUUUGCCAGCUUGCAUAUUUUCCUGUUUAUUUAAUUUUUUUUCUCCUUUGUUGCGUAAUGCAAGUACUAUACAGUGACAGAUUGUCAGAGGCAAAUGAUGUGAUUUGCUUAAUGUAAAGUCCUUUCAAAUGCAGAAAGUAAGUAAUUAUAAAACAAUUUUUCUCUGAUCUUUAUUCCCUAUAGUUAGAUGUUACUCACAGUAAGAGUUGUACCAGCCUGUAACAGUAUUUGAUGUAUAUUUUCCUCUUAAGAAUAAACUGUAUGAACAGAGCAAAAGUAGACUUAGCAAGUAGCAGGGCAAUAUAAUGUGCCUUUACAGCAAAAGAGAAGGUGCUAAGUUGAAUGUUUUUUAAAACAAAGCCAGUGAUCUGGCUUUACUGUCAGAAGAAGUUUUAGAUGAGAAAUUUGCAACUUUUUUUUUUUUUUUUUUUUUUUUUUGAUAUAUAGAAAAAGGAACUUUAGUGCUGCAUAAGGGGAAAAAAAAUGUAAGAUUAUAUUUUGCGACUGCCCACCUUGGAAGGCAAGAUUCUUUUGGAGGUACUGUAACAUAAUAAGGUAUUGUAAUGUAAUGUAAUGGACAUUACCAAAUUGAUCCAGUUAUAAUGGAAUAGUAGAAGCUGAGAAACUGUUACAAUUUCUUUUAAAGUUUACUGCAUUAUGAUGAACACCAUGGUGAAAACUUUAUGUUAAAUAAAGACUCACUCUGACACAGUGUCCAAAAAGAUGCCCUAUUUGAUUACAUGCUCUUUGGUCACUACUUUACUGUAGUUAUUAACUGUUUAAUCCCUUCCUGGAUUUCUACUUAGGACAUCAUAUUGUAGCAGAAAAUGGAAAGUUCUACUUCCUUGAAAUUACAUAUAUGAAUGAAUAAAACAUACAUUCCAGAGCUCUUAAAGGGAGAUUGCUCCUUGGUUCUGAAUCUUUGCAGUAGAAGCUAUAUUUUCCAACAUGACCUUACUGGUCCCAUUUGUUAAAUACAUUUGUCUGAAUCUGGAAUAAAAUUGAGCAAGUGUUUAGCUAUUUGCAAAUUCAGGGUUUAUUUAGUGGGAACGAAUUAAAAAAACAAAUGUGCUGAUGGAAAUAACUGGGUUUUGUUGCAAAAUAUGUAGAAGGAAAUAAUAAAAAUAAAUUAAUUUUAAAAAGCCACAAAUAUUUAAUACUUUAUUAUACCAUAACAUGUACUGAAAUUUUGCUAUAGCUUUUGCUUAACUAACUGUGAACCUGGUCUUCCUCUAGAGGAUGAGGUGUGCAAAAAUGAAUACAUUUGUUUUUGUUGUUGCGUUUUGCUUUAUUUAUUUAUUUUGGUGGUGGUGUAUUUUUUUCCAUGCAAUGAUUUUCAGAACCCUGAUACCAAUGAAGAAAAAAGCAGCAGUAUAGCUUUGUAAAUAUUUUAUAAAAUGUCCAUCUGAAGCCCCUCAACCUCUGCUAAUUAGAGGCCAUACUGUGGAGAUUGACAGGGUAAAUUACCAGUUAAUGUUUACACAACAAAACAUAUGCCCAGUACAAUAUCCUACACUGAUGUUACUGAAACCAGAGUCCGGAAAUGUACAGUGGAAACAAGACGUGGUACUUUUCUUGUGCCAACACAAACAGCAAUUACAGCACAGUGUGAGAGAAGUCAUAAGGAAUACUACUGCAUAUCAGUAGUUCAACAAAGUCAGCACUUUUGUGUAAUUGCAGGGGAAAAGGGCUGAAAAACAUUACAGAUCUCAGCAAGAAAUGGUCCUUUAUACUUUUAAACUGAUCCUUGAUAAAACAAUGCUGGGGUCAUGAGAAGGCUACUCUGCCAAUUUUGCUUCACUGUGGGAUCCAUUGACAUCUGGCUGAGCUGCGGAAGCUGGAAAACUUCUUUAAUAUUCUCUUGACAGUAAAAUGGACAUGUGGAAAACAUUCUAAUCUGUUAAUCUUUGGUGCUCCUGAAGAAAAAGGACAUUUGGCUUUAUACUUUGUGAUGAUAAAUAUUAAGUCUCCAGGCCUAGCUGUAAAUAAGUUGAAAGCGUUUGAAUGGAGAAUGUUCUUAUUUUCCAAAUAUGGGAGAAGAUGAAUAUGCACCUGUGUAAUCCAGAUGACGUAAUAAAUGCCAGGAACUUUUUUCUAUGGGUAGUUUACCAUACAUCUUGGCAAUUUACUUUACUUUAUGGUGAAUAUAUUUUGUCAAUGAAUAUUAGGGAGCAGUAUCUCCAAACUUCCUUAUGUCCUACAUACAAAAUCAGAAUAAAGCAUUGUUUCACUCAAGGGAUUAUGAAAAUAGAAGUAAGAGAGAUUCAAA